UUUUCAUGAUGAGGAAAGAAAUCGAUUGCGUCUGAUGUACUGGAUGUGAAAUUCCUCCUACUCAUUCUGA
This 70-nucleotide small nucleolar RNA is filed under the name Setaria italica (foxtail millet). RNAcentral describes it as "Small nucleolar RNA Z105". It matches the Rfam family "Small nucleolar RNA Z105". From Rfam's summary of the family: This family consists of several snoRNA Z105 sequences which are members of the C/D class of snoRNA which contain the C (UGAUGA) and D (CUGA) box motifs. This family seems to be found exclusively in plants. C/D box small nucleolar RNAs are known to act as a methylation guides for 18S ribosomal RNA. Lineage: Eukaryota; Viridiplantae; Streptophyta; Magnoliopsida; Poales; Poaceae. The record is from Rfam by way of RNAcentral.